UACGGAGGGUGCAAGCGUUGCUCGGAAUUAUUGGGCGUAAAGGGCAGGUAGGUGGUCUCGUUUGUCUGGGGUGAAAGCCUUGAGCUUAACUCAAGAAGUGCCCCAGAAACGGCGAGACUAGAGUUCUGGAGAGGGUCGUGGAAUUCCCGGUGUAGCGGUGAAAUGCGUAGAGAUCGGGAGGAACACCAGAGGCGAAAGCGGCGACCUGGACAGAUACUGACACUCAACUGCGAAAGCGUGGGGAGCAAACAGG
This 253-nucleotide ribosomal RNA is filed under the name uncultured bacterium. RNAcentral describes it as "partial 16S ribosomal RNA". It matches the Rfam family "Bacterial small subunit ribosomal RNA", at positions 524 to 776 of the family's 1533-position model. The record is from RNAcentral.